CCUACGGGUGGCUGCAGUGAGGAAUAUUGGUCAAUGGGCGUAAGCCUGACGCAGCCAAGCCGCGUGAGGGAUGAAGGUUCUAUGGAUCGUAAACCUCUUUUAUAAGGGAGUAAAGUGUGGGACGUGUCCGAUUUUGUAUGUACCUACUGAGUAAGGGUCGGCUAACUCCGUGCCAGCAGCCGCGGUAAUACGGAGGAUACGAGCGUUAUCCGGAUUUAUUGGGGUUAAAGGGUGCGUAGGCGGCGUUUUAAGUCAGUUGUGAAAGUCUGUGGCUUAACCAUAGAAUUGCCGUUAAAACUGGGUCCCUUGAGUAUGUUAGAGGCAAGUGGAAUUCGUGGUGUAGCGGUGAAAUGCGUAGAUAUUAGGAAGAACACCGGUGGCGAAGGCGACUUUCCGGCGCGUAACUGACGCUGAGGCACGAAAGUGUGGGGAGCGAACAGGAUUAGAUACCCUAGUAGUC
This 460-nucleotide ribosomal RNA is filed under the name uncultured bacterium. RNAcentral describes it as "partial 16S ribosomal RNA". It matches the Rfam family "Bacterial small subunit ribosomal RNA", at positions 338 to 795 of the family's 1533-position model. The record is from RNAcentral.